UACGUAGGGUGCAAGCGUUGUCCGGAAUUAUUGGGCGUAAAGAGCUCGUAGGCGGUUUGUCGCGUCUGCUGUGAAAACUCGGGGCUUAACCCCGGGCCUGCAGUGGGUACGGGCAGACUAGAGUGCGGUAGGGGAGACUGGAAUUCCUGGUGUAGCGGUGAAAUGCGCAGAUAUCAGGAGGAACACCGGUGGCGAAGGCGGCCACCUGGGCCGGAACUGACGCUGAGGCGCGAAAGCGUGGGGAGCAAACGGG
RNAcentral lists this ribosomal RNA (253 nucleotides) under uncultured bacterium. RNAcentral describes it as "partial 16S ribosomal RNA". It matches the Rfam family "Bacterial small subunit ribosomal RNA", at positions 524 to 776 of the family's 1533-position model. The record is from RNAcentral.